CAAAUUGCCCUAUAUCAGCUCUAGAAAUCAUAGUGUCGUGCUCUCUUAUUUGUCAGUGUUUGAUUUUGCAAAGGGACACAUUUCUGUUUAGCCAAAGUUAGCAGAGAUGCCUCGUACUUGUGUGAACAGUGCAGAUAACUUCUGCUAUGUUUGUGGUGAAGUGACUUUUGCAUCACAAAAGCGCAGUAUAACCACUAUGGUUAAGAGAGCCUAUCACCUUUAUUUUGGCUGCAAAAUUGGAGAUCAGGACAAGAGGUGGGCCCCACACAUAUGCUGCAACACUUGUGCAACAAAGCUUCGCCAGUGGUUGAACAGGAAAAGGAAAUCUAUGCCUUUUGCAGUGCCAAUGAUUUGGAGAGAGCCAACAGAUCAUACCAGCAAUGAUUACUUCUGCAUGAUGCCUCCAGUUGGGAAAGGUAUGUCAAAGAAAAACAAGUGGACUGUGCAUUUUCCAAACAUUCCAUCAGCUAUACGCCCAGUACCCCACGGAGAAGGACUGCCGGUUCCUGAUGCACCAGAAUCAUUCUCACUUGAGUCAGACAAGGAAGAGGAUGAAACUUCUGGUCCUGAACCAUCAAUGUCACAGGACCCACAUUUUCUCCCAUCCUCCUCCUCUGAACCACACCUCAUAACACAAGGUGAGCUGAAUGACCUUGUCAGGGAUUUGGAACUACCUAAGAGUAAGGCAGAGCUGUUGGGCUCCAGACUACAGCAGUGGAAUCUCCUGGCAGGUGAUGUUAGGGUUUCCAUAUUCCGUGACCAUCAAAAGGAUCUUGUCCCAUUCUUCUUCAUGGAAGGUGAUCUUGUAGCCUGCACCAACAUCGAUGGUGUGAUGGCAGCCCUCAACAUCGUUCACGAUCCAGAUGAGUGGAGACUGUUCAUUGAUUCAUCGAAGACGAGUCUUAAAGCUGUUUUACUGCAUAAUGGCAAUGUUUUGCCAUCAAUUCCAGUUGGUCAUGCAGUCCAUAUGAAGGAAACCUAUGACAACAUGAAACAACUUUUGAGAUGCAUAAACUAUGACCAACAUCAGUGGCAGCUUUGUGGCGAUUUGAAGGUUGUUGCUCUCUUGCUUGGUCUGCAGACUGGAUACACAAAGUACUGCUGUUUUCUCUGCGAAUGGGAU
Molecule: long non-coding RNA, 1123 nt
Filed under: Chrysemys picta bellii (western painted turtle)
Lineage: Eukaryota; Metazoa; Chordata; Testudines; Emydidae
Description: lncRNA (ENSCPBG00000002751.1)
Source: RNAcentral